UCACUAACUGGCUGCUUUUCAUUAUUCUUGACAUCAAUUUGCACUGCCGGCAGCUAAUGAAAAGAGUAAAAAGAAAGAACAGCAAUCUGAACAUGAAGCUUCUGUAAGUUUUCUUGGGUAUACUUUUGUGAAACUGCUGUCACACGGUGUGAUUUCCGGAUGUAAGAAGUUCACUGUUUGUGAUCUUCCAUGAGUUUCAGCCAUUGGCAUCAGUUCAUAAUUUNN
This 225-nucleotide long non-coding RNA is filed under the name Solanum tuberosum (potato). RNAcentral describes it as "long non-coding RNA (STUB_LNC001131)". The record is from RNAcentral. Lineage: Eukaryota; Viridiplantae; Streptophyta; Magnoliopsida; Solanales; Solanaceae.